This 261-nucleotide ribosomal RNA is filed under the name uncultured bacterium. Its description in RNAcentral is "partial 16S ribosomal RNA". It matches the Rfam family "Bacterial small subunit ribosomal RNA", at positions 524 to 784 of the family's 1533-position model. The record is from RNAcentral.
UACGGAGGGUGCAAGCGUUAUCCGGAUUCACUGGGUUUAAAGGGUGUGUAGGCGGGUAUUUAAGUCAGUGGUGAAAUCUCCAGGCUCAACCUGGAAACUGCCAUUGAUACUAUUUAUCUUGAAUCUUGUUGAGGUGGGCGGAAUAUAUCAUGUAGCGGUGAAAUGCUUAGAUAUGAUAUAGAACACCGAUUGCGAAGGCAGCUCACUAAACAAGCAUUGACGCUGAGGCACGAAAGCGUGGGGAUCAAACAGGAUUAGAAA